UAAGCAUAUCAAUAAGCGGAGGAAAAGAAACCAACAGGGAUUGCCUUAGUAGCGGCGAGUGAAGCGGCAAUAGCUCAAAUUUGAAAUCUGCCAACAGGCCGAGUUGUAAUUUGAAGAAAGCAAUUCUGGAUGUGUCUUUGCUCAAGUUCCUUGGAAUAGGACAUCAUGGAGGGUGAGAAUCCCGUGAUGCGAAGGUAGCACGUCUAUGUAGAAUGUUUUCGACGAGUCGAGUUGUUUGGGAAUGCAGCUCAAAGUGGGUGGUAAAUUCCAUCUAAAGCUAAAUAUUGGCGAGAGACCGAUAGCGAACAAGUACUGUGAAGGAAAGAUGAAAAGAACUUUGAAAAGAGAGUGAAAAAGUACGUGAAAUUGUUGAAAUGGAAGGGCUUGAGAUUAGACAUGGUGUUUAGUGUUCCGCUUUCUUUUGGGAAUGUGUACUCGCUUUACACCGGGCCAGCAUCAGUUUUGAUGGGAGGAUAAAUGGUAUUGAAUGUGGCUGCUUGCAGUGUUAUAGCUUUAUCAAAUACUUCCAAUCGGGACUGAGGACCGCGCAUUUGCUAGGAUGCUGGCGUAAUGAUCUUAAGCCACCCGUCUUGAAACACGGACCAAGGAGUCUAUUGCCUAUGCGAGUGUUUGGGUGUAAAACCCGUACGCGUAAUUAAAGUGAACGUAGGUUGGGGCCUUCGGGUGCACAAUCGACCGAUCCUGACGUUUUCAGAUGGAUUUGAGUAAGAGCAUAGUUGAUGGGACCCGAAAGAUGGUGAACUAUGCCUGAAUAGGGUGAAGCCAGAGGAAACUCUGGUGGAGGCUCGUAGCGGUUCUGACGUGCAAAUCGAUCGUCAAAUUUGGGUAUAGGGGCGAAAGACUAAUCGAACCAUCUAGUAGCUGGUUCUGCGA
This 894-nucleotide ribosomal RNA is filed under the name Wickerhamiella sorbophila. RNAcentral describes it as "LSU rRNA". It matches the Rfam family "Eukaryotic large subunit ribosomal RNA", at positions 35 to 964 of the family's 3401-position model. The record is from RNAcentral. Lineage: Eukaryota; Fungi; Ascomycota; Dipodascomycetes; Dipodascales; Trichomonascaceae.